UGCGUAGGCGGCGACUUAAGUAGGUUGUGAAAUCUCCCGGCUCAACCGGGGAACUGCGUUCUAAACUGGGUUGCUUGAGUAAGAUAGAGGUGUGCGGAACUUCCGGUGGAGCGGUGAAAUGUGUUGAUAUCGGAGGGAACACCGUUGGCGAAAGCGGCACACUGGGUCUUAACUGACGCUGAGGCACGAAAGCCAGGGGAGCAAACAGGAUUAGAUACCCUGGUAGUCC
Molecule: ribosomal RNA, 229 nt
Filed under: uncultured bacterium
Lineage: Bacteria
Description: partial 16S ribosomal RNA
Rfam family: Bacterial small subunit ribosomal RNA
Source: RNAcentral